RNAcentral lists this ribosomal RNA (337 nucleotides) under Acidimicrobiia bacterium. RNAcentral describes it as "bacterial SSU rRNA". It matches the Rfam family "Bacterial small subunit ribosomal RNA", at positions 1 to 330 of the family's 1533-position model. RNAcentral also lists the same sequence under 2 other names. The record is from RNAcentral. Lineage: Bacteria; Bacillati; Actinomycetota; Acidimicrobiia.
UUGUUGGAGAGUUUGAUCCUGGCUCAGGACGAACGCUGGCGGCGUGCUUAAUACAUGCAAGUCGAACGUGGUCCAUCCGAUCUUCGGAUCGGAGAAGAUCAAGUGGCGAACGGGUGCGUAACACGUGAGGAACCUGCCCCAGUCUCCGGAAUAACGAGUGGAAACAUUUGCUAAUACCGGAUGACGUCUGACCACCACCUGGUGGACAGCCGAAAGAUUUAUCGGACCGGGAGGGUCUCGCGGCCUAUCAGCUUGUUGGUGAGGUAACGGCUCACCAAGGCAUCGACGGGUAGCUGGUCUGAGAGGAUGAUCAGCCACACUGGGACUGAGACACGGC